RNAcentral lists this ribosomal RNA (512 nucleotides) under uncultured bacterium. Its description in RNAcentral is "partial 16S ribosomal RNA". It matches the Rfam family "Bacterial small subunit ribosomal RNA", at positions 28 to 523 of the family's 1533-position model. The record is from RNAcentral.
GACGAACGCUGGCGGUGUGCCUAAUACAUGCAAGUCGAGCGAAUCAAUAGGAGCUUGCUCCUGUUGGUUAGCGGCGGACGGGUGAGUAACACGUGGGCAACCUGCCUGUAAGACUGGGAUAACACCGGGAAACCGGUGCUAAUACCGGAUAAUCCUUUUCCUCUCAUGAGGAAAAGCUGAAAGUCGGUUUCGGCUGACACUUACAGAUGGGCCCGCGGCGCAUUAGCUAGUUGGUGAGGUAACGGCUCACCAAGGCGACGAUGCGUAGCCGACCUGAGAGGGUGAUCGGCCACACUGGGACUGAGACACGGCCCAGACUCCUACGGGAGGCAGCAGUAGGGAAUCUUCCACAAUGGACGAAAGUCUGAUGGAGCAACGCCGCGUGAGCGAUGAAGGCCUUCGGGUCGUAAAGCUCUGUUGUUAGGGAAGAACAAGUACCGGAGUAACUGCCGGUACCUUGACGGUACCUAACCAGAAAGCCACGGCUAACUACGUGCCAGCCGCCGCCGUAA